GAUGAAGAACGCAGCGAAAUGCGAUAAGUAAUGUGAAUUGCAGAAUUCAGUGAAUCAUCGAAUCUUUGAACGCACAUUGCGCCCAUUAGUAUUCUAGUGGGCAUGCCUGUUCGAGCGUCAUUAAGUCCACUUAAGCCCUGCUUAGUGUUGGGAGACUGCUCCAGCGGUGCUACCCUGUAGCUACCCUGCAGCUCCUCAAAGACAGCGGCGGAGUUGUGGUAUCCUCUGAGCUUAGUAACUUGUUCUAGCUUUCGAGUACACCACCUCCCCUGCCGUAAAACCCUUAAUUUUUAAUGGUUGACCUCGGAUCAGGUAGGAAUACCCGCUGAACUUAAGCAUAUCAAUAAGCGGAGGA
This 355-nucleotide unclassified non-coding RNA is filed under the name soil metagenome. Its description in RNAcentral is "partial contains 5.8S ribosomal RNA, internal transcribed spacer 2, and large subunit ribosomal RNA". The stretch from base 1 to 120 matches the Rfam family "5.8S ribosomal RNA", at positions 35 to 154 of the family's 154-position model. The record is from RNAcentral.